GAUUAAGUUAUUAAGGGCGCACGGUGGAUGCCUUGGCACUAGAAGCCGAUGAAGGACGUUACUAACGACGAUAUGCUUUGGGGAGCUGUAAGUAAGCUUUGAUCCAGAGAUUUCCGAAUGGGGAAACCCAGCAUGAGUUAUGUCAUGUUAUCGAUAUGUGAAUACAUAGCAUAUCAGAAGGCACACCCGGAGAACUGAAACAUCUUAGUACCCGGAGGAAGAGAAAGAAAAUUCGAUUCCCUUAGUAGCGGCGAGCGAAACGGGAAGAGCCCAAACCAACAAGCUUGCUUGUUGGGGUUGUAGGACACUCUAUACGGAGUUACAAAGGACGACAUUAGACGAAUCAUCUGGAAAGAUGAAUCAAAGAAGGUAAUAAUCCUGUAGUCGAAAAUGUUGUCUCUCUUGAGUGGAUCCUGAGUACGACGGAGCACGUGAAAUUCCGUCGGAAUCUGGGAGGACCAUCUCCUAAGGCUAAAUACUCUCUAGUGACCGAUAGUGAACCAGUACCGUGAGGGAAAGGUGAAAAGCACCCCGGAAGGGGAGUGAAAUAGAACCUGAAACCGUGUGCUUACAAGUAGUCAGAGCCCGUUAAUGGGUGAUGGCGUGCCUUUUGUAGAAUGAACCGGCGAGUUACGAUUUGAUGCAAGGUUAAGCAGUAAAUGUGGAGCCGUAGCGAAAGCGAGUCUGAAUAGGGCGUUUAGUAUUUGGUCGUAGACCCGAAACCAGGUGAUCUACCCUUGGUCAGGUUGAAGUUCAGGUAACACUGAAUGGAGGACCGAACCGACUUACGUUGAAAAGUGAGCGGAUGAACUGAGGGUAGCGGAGAAAUUCCAAUCGAACCUGGAGAUAGCUGGUUCUCUCCGAAAUAGCUUUAGGGCUAGCCUCAAGUGAUGAUUAUUGGAGGUAGAGCACUGUUUGGACGAGGGGCCCCUCUCGGGUUACCGAAUUCAGACAAACUCCGAAUGCCAAUUAAUUUAACUUGGGAGUCAGAACAUGGGUGAUAAGGUCCGUGUUCGAAAGGGAAACAGCCCAGACCACCAGCUAAGGUCCCAAAAUAUAUGUUAAGUGGAAAAGGAUGUGGCGUUGCCCAGACAACUAGGAUGUUGGCUUAGAAGCAGCCAUCAUUUAAAGAGUGCGUAAUAGCUCACUAGUCGAGUGACACUGCGCCGAAAAUGUACCGGGGCUAAACAUAUUACCGAAGCUGUGGAUUGUCCUUUGGACAAUGGUAGGAGAGCGUUCUAAGGGCGUUGAAGCAUGAUCGUAAGGACAUGUGGAGCGCUUAGAAGUGAGAAUGCCGGUGUGAGUAGCGAAAGACGGGUGAGAAUCCCGUCCACCGAUUGACUAAGGUUUCCAGAGGAAGGCUCGUCCGCUCUGGGUUAGUCGGGUCCUAAGCUGAGGCCGACAGGCGUAGGCGAUGGAUAACAGGUUGAUAUUCCUGUACCACCUAUAAUCGUUUUAAUCGAUGGGGGGACGCAGUAGGAUAGGCGAAGCGUGCGAUUGGAUUGCACGUCUAAGCAGUAAGGCUGAGUAUUAGGCAAAUCCGGUACUCGUUAAGGCUGAGCUGUGAUGGGGAGAAGACAUUGUGUCUUCGAGUCGUUGAUUUCACACUGCCGAGAAAAGCCUCUAGAUAGAAAAUAGGUGCCCGUACCGCAAACCGACACAGGUAGUCAAGAUGAGAAUUCUAAGGUGAGCGAGCGAACUCUCGUUAAGGAACUCGGCAAAAUGACCCCGUAACUUCGGGAGAAGGGGUGCUCUUUAGGGUUAACGCCCAGAAGAGCCGCAGUGAAUAGGCCCAAGCGACUGUUUAUCAAAAACACAGGUCUCUGCUAAACCGUAAGGUGAUGUAUAGGGGCUGACGCCUGCCCGGUGCUGGAAGGUUAAGAGGAGUGGUUAGCUUCUGCGAAGCUACGAAUCGAAGCCCCAGUAAACGGCGGCCGUAACUAUAACGGUCCUAAGGUAGCGAAAUUCCUUGUCGGGUAAGUUCCGACCCGCACGAAAGGCGUAACGAUUUGGGCACUGUCUCAACGAGAGACUCGGUGAAAUCAUAGUACCUGUGAAGAUGCAGGUUACCCGCGACAGGACGGAAAGACCCCGUGGAGCUUUACUGUAGCCUGAUAUUGAAAUUCGGCACAGCUUGUACAGGAUAGGUAGGAGCCUUUGAAACGUGAGCGCUAGCUUACGUGGAGGCGCUGGUGGGAUACUACCCUAGCUGUGUUGGCUUUCUAACCCGCACCACUUAUCGUGGUGGGAGACAGUGUCAGGCGGGCAGUUUGACUGGGGCGGUCGCCUCCUAAAAGGUAACGGAGGCGCUCAAAGGUUCCCUCAGAAUGGUUGGAAAUCAUUCAUAGAGUGUAAAGGCAUAAGGGAGCUUGACUGCGAGACCUACAAGUCGAGCAGGGUCGAAAGACGGACUUAGUGAUCCGGUGGUUCCGCAUGGAAGGGCCAUCGCUCAACGGAUAAAAGCUACCCCGGGGAUAACAGGCUUAUCUCCCCCAAGAGUUCACAUCGACGGGGAGGUUUGGCACCUCGAUGUCGGCUCAUCGCAUCCUGGGGCUGUAGUCGGUCCCAAGGGUUGGGCUGUUCGCCCAUUAAAGCGGUACGCGAGCUGGGUUCAGAACGUCGUGAGACAGUUCGGUCCCUAUCCGUCGUGGGCGUAGGAAAUUUGAGAGGAGCUGUCCUUAGUACGAGAGGACCGGGAUGGACAUACCUCUGGUGUACCAGUUGUCGUGCCAGCGGCAUAGCUGGGUAGCUAUGUGUGGACGGGAUAAGUGCUGAAAGCAUCUAAGCAUGAAGCCCCCCUCAAGAUGAGAUUUCCCAACUUCGGUUAUAAGAUCCCUCAAAGAUGAUGAGGUUAAUAGGUUCGAGGUGGAAGCAUGGUGACAUGUGGAGCUGACGAAUACUAAUCGAUCGAAGACUUAAUCAA
Molecule: ribosomal RNA, 2923 nt
Filed under: Staphylococcus aureus
Lineage: Bacteria; Bacillati; Bacillota; Bacilli; Caryophanales; Staphylococcaceae
Also listed under: 1 other name
Description: 23S ribosomal RNA
Rfam family: Bacterial large subunit ribosomal RNA
Source: RNAcentral